GACAUGUCCGGAAUCCUGCAGAGAUGCGGGAGUGCCGAAGGGAAUCGGAACACAGGUGCUGCAUGGCUGUCGUCAGCUCGUGUCGUGAGGAUGUUGGGUUAAGUCCCGCAACGAGCGCAACCCUUAUCAUUAGUUGCUACGCAAGGGCACUCUAAUGAGACUGCCGGUGACAAACCGGAGGAAGGUGGGGAUGACGUCAAGUCCUCAUGGCCCUUAUGGGUAGGGCUUCACGCGUCAUACAAUGGUCGGUACAGAGGGUUGCCAAGCCGCGAGGUGGAGCCAAUCCCAGAAAGCCGAUCGUAGUCCGGAUUGUUCUCUGCAACUCGAGAGCAUGAAGUCGGAAUCGCUAGUAAUCGCGGAUCAGCAUGUCGCGGUGAAUACGUUCCCGGGUCUU
RNAcentral lists this ribosomal RNA (394 nucleotides) under uncultured Thiobacillus sp. RNAcentral's name for it is "bacterial SSU rRNA". It matches the Rfam family "Bacterial small subunit ribosomal RNA", at positions 983 to 1382 of the family's 1533-position model. The record is from RNAcentral. Lineage: Bacteria; Pseudomonadati; Pseudomonadota; Betaproteobacteria; Nitrosomonadales; Thiobacillaceae.